RNAcentral lists this ribosomal RNA (485 nucleotides) under uncultured bacterium. RNAcentral describes it as "bacterial SSU rRNA". It matches the Rfam family "Bacterial small subunit ribosomal RNA", at positions 28 to 507 of the family's 1533-position model. The record is from RNAcentral.
GAUGAACGCUAGCGGCAGGCUUAACACAUGCAAGUCGAGGGGCAGCACUUGUAGCAAUACAUGGUGGCGACCGGCGCAAGGGUGCGUAACGCGUGAGCAACAUGCCCGUAUCAGGGGGAUAAUCCAGGGAAACUUGGUCUAAUACCCCAUAGCAAUUAUUUGAGGCAUCUUAAAAUAAUUUAAAGCUUUGGUGGAUACGGAUUGGCUCGCGUGACAUUAGCUAGAUGGUAAGGUAACGGCUUACCAUGGCUACGAUGUCUAGGGGUUCUGAGAGGAAGAUCCCCCACACUGGAACUGAGACACGGUCCAGACUCCUACGGGAGGCAGCAGUGAGGAAUAUUGGACAAUGGAUGGAAAUCUGAUCCAGCCAUGCCGCGUGCAGGAAGACGGCCCUAUGGGUUGUAAACUGCUUUUGUGUGGGAGCAAUAAGGUCUAUGCGUAGACUGAUGAGAGUACCAUACGAAUAAGCAUCGGCUAACUCCGUG